GAGUAAGGGGUGGAAAGACCGGUGCCAGCCGCCGCGGUAACACCGCACCUCAAGUGGUAGCCAUAUUAUUGGGCCUAAAGCGUUGUAGCCGGCUUGGUUAAUCCUGGGUAAAUCGUACCGUCAACGGUGCGGAUUCCGGGGACAUGCCAGGCUUGAGACCGGGGGAGAUCAGAGGUACUGCGGGGAGCGGUGAAAUGUUGUAAUCCCGCAGGGACCACCAAUGGUGAAGG
This 230-nucleotide ribosomal RNA is filed under the name uncultured Halobaculum sp. RNAcentral describes it as "partial 16S ribosomal RNA". It matches the Rfam family "Archaeal small subunit ribosomal RNA", at positions 433 to 672 of the family's 1478-position model. The record is from RNAcentral. Lineage: Archaea; Methanobacteriati; Methanobacteriota; Halobacteria; Halobacteriales; Haloferacaceae.